RNAcentral lists this long non-coding RNA (473 nucleotides) under Pan troglodytes (chimpanzee). Its description in RNAcentral is "long non-coding RNA NONPTRT003865". Lineage: Eukaryota; Metazoa; Chordata; Mammalia; Primates; Hominidae. The record is from RNAcentral.
CGCCAUUUUUUUGGGUGAGUGUUUUUGGUUCCUGCGUUGGGAUUCCGUGUACAAUCCAUAGACAUCUGACCUCGGCACUUAGCAUCAUCACAGCAAACUAACUGUAGCCUUUCUCUCUUUCCCUGUAGAAACCUCUGCGCCAUGAGAGCCAAGUGGAGGAAGAAGCGAAUGCGCAGAGGCUGAAGCGCAAAAGAAGAAAGAUGAGGCAGAGGUCCAAGUAAACCGCUAGCUUGUUGCACCGUGGUGGCCACAGGAGCAGAAACAUGGAAUGCCAGACGCUGGGGAUGCUGGUACAAGUUGUGGGACUGCAUGCUACUGUCUAGAGCUUGUCUCAAUGGAUCUAGAACUUCAUCGCCCUCUGAUCGCCGAUCACCUCUGAGACCCACCUUGCUCAUAAACAAAAUGCCCAUGUUGGUCCUCUGCCCUGGACCUGUGACAUUCUGGACUAUUUCUGUGUUUAUUUGUGGCCGAGU